This 82-nucleotide transfer RNA is filed under the name Simplicispira sp. 110. RNAcentral's name for it is "tRNA-Leu". It matches the Rfam family "tRNA". From Rfam's summary of the family: Transfer RNA (tRNA) molecules are approximately 80 nucleotides in length. Their secondary structure includes four short double-helical elements and three loops (D, anti-codon, and T loops). The record is from RNAcentral. RNAcentral also lists the same sequence under 1 other name. Lineage: Bacteria; Pseudomonadati; Pseudomonadota; Betaproteobacteria; Burkholderiales; Comamonadaceae.
GCCCGGGUGGUGGAAUUGGUAGACGCAGGGGACUCAAAAUCCCCCGCCGCAAGGCGUGCCGGUUCGAUUCCGGCCUCGGGCA